RNAcentral lists this ribosomal RNA (500 nucleotides) under uncultured bacterium. Its description in RNAcentral is "partial 16S ribosomal RNA". It matches the Rfam family "Bacterial small subunit ribosomal RNA", at positions 28 to 507 of the family's 1533-position model. The record is from RNAcentral.
GACGAACGCUGGCGGCGUGCUUAACACAUGCAAGUCGAACGGGUCUGCCCUGUUUUUUGCGGGGUGGGUCAGUGGCGAACGGGUGAGUAACACGUGAGUAACCUGCCCCUCACUUCUGGAUAACCGCUUGAAAGGGUGGCUAAUACGGGGUGUUCUGGCUGUGCCGCAUGGUGUGGCUGGGAAAGAUUCACUUUUGUGGUGUUUUGGUGGGGGAUGGGCUCGCGGCCUAUCAGCUUGUUGGUGGGGUGAUGGCCGGCCAAGGCUUUGACGGGUAGCCGGCCUGGGAGGGUGGGCGGUCACACUGGGACUGAGCUACGGCCCGGACUCCUGCGGGAGGCAGCAGUGGGGGGUAUUGCACAAUGGGCGGAAGCCUGAUGCAGCGACGUCGCGUGAGGGAUGGAGGCCUUCGGGUUGUGAACCUCUUUCGCCGGUGAAGAAGGUCCUGCUCUUUGUGGUGGGGUUGACGGUGGCCGGGUUAUGAAGCGCCGGCUAACUACGUG